UAACACGUGAGCAACCUGCCCCUGACUCUGGGAUAAGCGCUGGAAACGGCGUCUAAUACUGGAUACGAGUAGCGAUCGCAUGGUCAGCUACUGGAAAGAUUUAUUGGUUGGGGAUGGGCUCGCGGCCUAUCAGCUUGUUGGUGAGGUAAUGGCUCACCAAGGCGUCGACGGGUAGCCGGCCUGAGAGGGUGACCGGCCACACUGGGACUGAGACACGGCCCAGACUCCUACGGGAGGCAGCAGUGGGGAAUAUUGCACAAUGGGCGCAAGCCUGAUGCAGCAACGCCGCGUGAGGGAUGACGGCCUUCGGGUUGUAAACCUCUUUUAGCAGGGAAGAAGCGAAAGUGACGGUACCUGCAGAAAAAGCGCCGGCUAACUACGUGCCAGCAGCCGCGGUAAUACGUAGGGCGCAAGCGUUAUCCGGAAUUAUUGGGCGUAAAGAGCUCGUAGGCGGUUUGUCGCGUCUGCUGUGAAAUCCGGAGGCUCAACCUCCGGCCUGCAGUGGGUACGGGCAGACUAGAGUGCGGUAGGGGAGAUUGGAAUUCCUGGUGUAGCGGUGGAAUGCGCAGAUAUCAGGAGGAACACCGAUGGCGAAGGCAGAUCUCUGGGCCGUAACUGACGCUGAGGAGCGAAAGGGUGGGGAGCAAACAGGCUUAGAUACCC
This 663-nucleotide ribosomal RNA is filed under the name Microbacterium phyllosphaerae. RNAcentral describes it as "bacterial SSU rRNA". It matches the Rfam family "Bacterial small subunit ribosomal RNA", at positions 111 to 787 of the family's 1533-position model. Lineage: Bacteria; Bacillati; Actinomycetota; Actinomycetes; Micrococcales; Microbacteriaceae. The record is from RNAcentral.